Molecule: non-coding RNA, 850 nt
Organism: Paramuricea clavata
Lineage: Eukaryota; Metazoa; Cnidaria; Anthozoa; Malacalcyonacea; Plexauridae
Source: the annotation of a GenBank genome assembly
CUGUCUGGAAUUUUAGCCUAGAGUAGUAGUGCUGGUUCGGGCACCGUUAAAUUGGCUACUGCUGAAGUGAAGCAGUCACCUUAUGAGUACAAUCUGAUGGCUGCUUCUUUAACUAUCUCUCGUUCUGUUGAUGAAAUCCAAAAUCUUCUACUUUGUGGUGCUUGUAAUAAAACCAUCAACGAACCCAAGAUUUUGUCUUGCUCUCAUUCAUUCUGCAAAGCCUGUGUUGAGAACUUGGCGACACAAGACAAAGAAAACGUUGAUGGCGAAGGCAAGAAGUUGAACUGUCCAACUUGCAGAUCCACAACUACAUUGAAGCCGGACGAAAACGUCGCUGGAUUGCCCAAUCAUGAAUUUAUCCCAAAGCUGCUGACUGCCGUUGGUCCAAAUCGAACUCAAGGAGCUUCCGUUUGCUCUUACUGCCAAAAAGAGCCUUCGAUUACAAUAUGUAUGGAAUGUGAAAUGCUGGUGUGCCAUGAAUGUCAUAUGAUGCACGAGCGUUGGCCGCCGUUGCAAUGCCAUAUAAUGCUCUCCAUUGGUGAAAUAAUCAAUCGUGACGAGCAACAGAAAAUCGGAGCAGAAAAGUUAAGCUGCAGUAAACAUAAAGACGCCCUCCCGAAAUUUUAUUGUGAAACAUGUAAGGAACUGAUUUGUAUGAAAUGCAUGGCGUCUGUUCACACGAAACCAGGUCAUGCGUGCGUCGCGAUUCAUGAAAUCUAUCGAAAACAACAAGACGCUGUGAAGUCAAAAUGCGCGACCAUUAACGCAAUGUUACAGGAAGGAAAUAAGGUGGGUAUAGAAGAUAAUUCCAUACAAUGCUAACUUGUGGUGGUGGUUUACUUCAAUUGAU